This 414-nucleotide ribosomal RNA is filed under the name uncultured bacterium. Its description in RNAcentral is "bacterial SSU rRNA". It matches the Rfam family "Bacterial small subunit ribosomal RNA", at positions 355 to 766 of the family's 1533-position model. The record is from RNAcentral.
UGAGGAAUAUUGGUCAAUGGGCGGAAGCCUGAACCAGCCAUGCCGCGUGCGGGAUGAAGGCCCUACGGGUUGUAAACCGCUUUUCCCCGGGAAGAAUAAGCCCCCCGCGGGGGGUGAUGCCGGUACCGGGGGAAUAAGGAUCUGCUAACUCCGUGCCAGCAGCCGCGGUAAUACGGAGGAUCCGAGCGUUAUCCGGAUUUACUGGGUUUAAAGGGUGCGUAGGCGGCCCUGCAAGUCAGCGGUGAAAUGUGGCGGCUGAACCGUUUCGCUGCAGCCGAUACUGUGGGGCUUGGAUGCGGUCGAGGCGGGUGGAAUUCGUGGUGUAGCGGUGAAAUGCAUAGAUAUCACGAGGAACGCCGAUAGCGAAGGCAGCUCGCCGGGCCGCGAUCGACGCUGAGGCACGAAAGCGUGGGG